This 546-nucleotide ribosomal RNA is filed under the name Triticum aestivum (bread wheat). RNAcentral describes it as "partial small subunit ribosomal RNA". Lineage: Eukaryota; Viridiplantae; Streptophyta; Magnoliopsida; Poales; Poaceae. The record is from RNAcentral.
AUGAAUCAUCAGCGCCGGCGGGCCACACUCCGCGACCCUGGUUUUUCCGAAGAGGCUUCCAAUGCCUUCAACUCAGGUGAUGCAUACAUCCGAGCUGCUCGAGAUGGGCUUGCUAGAGCCACAGACCAGUAUUUGAAAGAUAUACGGUUUCUCACAGAGAAGAAUAACCUGUUGUCUCAAGAGCUGGAGAAGAGUCAAACCCAGCUAAGGGCCGCAACUGCCGAACUAGAGGAAUCCAAGAAGGACUCAACUGAUUCCGCAGAUAAUCCCGGAGUGAAUCCGGAGAUCCUACAAGAUGAUGAACAAAGAGCUCAAACACACCUAGAUGGUGGUGAGCGUAUACUUACACGGGUCAGGCAGGAGAAAAACGAUCUCCAAGAUGCCAAUACCCGGCUGGGCAUAGAAUUAAAAGAUGUUCGGGCCCAGCUGGUUGACUCCAUGAAGGAAAAUAAAAGGCUUCAACGCGGCAUUUUUAGUAUGCUGACUGAUCGUCCCGAAGAGGAGAUGCCCGGAUCCUCAGGCGAUCUGCUACAAGAGCUUUUGUAA